CUGCCCGUAGCUCAACCGGAUAGAGCACCAGCCUUCUAAGCUGGGGGUUGUGAGUUCGAGUCUCGCCGGGCAGGCCA
This 77-nucleotide transfer RNA is filed under the name Betaproteobacteria bacterium SCGC AG-212-J23. RNAcentral describes it as "tRNA-Arg". It matches the Rfam family "tRNA". Rfam says of the family: Transfer RNA (tRNA) molecules are approximately 80 nucleotides in length. Their secondary structure includes four short double-helical elements and three loops (D, anti-codon, and T loops). The record is from RNAcentral. Lineage: Bacteria; Pseudomonadati; Pseudomonadota; Betaproteobacteria. RNAcentral also lists the same sequence under 2 other names.